RNAcentral lists this ribosomal RNA (490 nucleotides) under uncultured bacterium. RNAcentral's name for it is "bacterial SSU rRNA". It matches the Rfam family "Bacterial small subunit ribosomal RNA", at positions 28 to 511 of the family's 1533-position model. The record is from RNAcentral.
GAUAAACGCUAGCGGCAGGCCUAACACAUGCAAGUCGAACGGUAACAGGAAUAGCUUGCUAUUCGCUGACGAGUGGCGCACGGGUGCGUAACGCGUAUGCAACUUACCUUUAACUGAGGAAUAGCUCAGAGAAAUCUGAAUUAAUACCUCAUAGUAUUGAAAAAUCGCAUGAUUUUUCAAUUAAAGCUCCGGCGGUUAAAGAUAGGCAUGCGUGACAUUAGUUAGUUGGUGAGGUAACGGCUCACCAAGACUUCGAUGUCUAGGGGGUCUGAGAGGAUGAUCCCCCACACUGGUACUGAGACACGGACCAGACUCCUACGGGAGGCAGCAGUGAGGAAUAUUGGUCAAUGGACGAAAGUCUGAACCAGCCAUGCCGCGUGCAGGAUGACGGCCCUACGGGUUGUAAACUGCUUUUAUUUGGGAAGAAACCCUUGUACGUGUACGAGGCUGACGGUACCAAAUGAAUAAGCAUCGGCUAACUCCGUGCCAG